Molecule: long non-coding RNA, 652 nt
Organism: Oncorhynchus tshawytscha (Chinook salmon)
Lineage: Eukaryota; Metazoa; Chordata; Actinopteri; Salmoniformes; Salmonidae
Exons: 3
Source: RefSeq, a predicted model, not a curated record
GUAUUGUCUAAUAUUUUUUCUCUUUCUGUUCCAUUUUAGACAAACAGCCCUUCACAUUCAGGGCUUUCCCCAACACCAGAUCCACCACCCCAGUGUAGAGAGGUGGUGCGGGGUGAGGCGGGCCUCUCUCACCCUCUCUCACCCUCCUAUUCACCCCCACCUCCCCACGGCACGAUGACGCCAAGCAGACAGACCUCAGUCUCUGGCGUAGGGGGCUCCACCACAUACGCCCACAUAGACAUCACAGCCUCAGAGACAGCUCAGAGAGUAGCAGCAGAACAUGCCCAGGGGAGAGAGGACAGGCUGAUGGAGCUGGAGGAGAACAUGCCCAGGGGAGAGAGGACAGGCUGAUGGAGCUGGAGGAGAACAUGCCCAGGGGAGACAGGACAGAAAGGAGAGGCACCCUGCAGUCUCUCUCUCUCUGUCUCUCUCUCGGUCUCUCACUUACUCACUCACUCACACACACACACCUGAAAUGAUUUGAGUGUUUUCUUGUAAAUAGUAACUGCUUUGUUUGCCAAGAGAUUAUUUAAUAACUUGUUUUAUAUUUAGCCACCCUCUGCCUUGAUGACAGCUUUGCAAACUCUUGGCAUUCUCUCAACCAGCUUCACCUGGAAUGCUUUGCCAACAGUCGUGAAGGAGUUCCCACAUA